UCUGGUGAUGAUGGCGGAGGGGUUCCACUCGUUCCCAUCCCGAACACGAUCGUUAAGCCCUCCUGCGCCAAUGGUACUUGGGGCUCACGCCCCUGGGAGAGUCGGACGUUGCCAGGC
This is a ribosomal RNA of Seinonella peptonophila, 117 nucleotides long. NCBI's taxonomy places the organism in Bacteria, Bacillati, Bacillota, Bacilli, Caryophanales, Thermoactinomycetaceae. The record is from Rfam.